Molecule: ribosomal RNA, 617 nt
Filed under: Leuconostoc lactis
Lineage: Bacteria; Bacillati; Bacillota; Bacilli; Lactobacillales; Lactobacillaceae
Description: bacterial SSU rRNA
Rfam family: Bacterial small subunit ribosomal RNA
Source: RNAcentral
GCUUGCACCUUUCAAGCGAGUGGCGAACGGGUGAGUAACACGUGGAUAACCUGCCUCAAGGCUGGGGAUAACAUUUGGAAACAGAUGCUAAUACCGAAUAAAACUUAGUAUCGCAUGAUACAAAGUUGAAAGGCGCUACGGCGUCACCUAGAGAUGGGUCCGCGGUGCAUUAGUUAGUUGGUGGGGUAAAGGCCUACCAAGACAAUGAUGCAUAGCCGAGUUGAGAGACUGAUCGGCCACAUUGGGACUGAGACACGGCCCAAACUCCUACGGGAGGCUGCAGUAGGGAAUCUUCCACAAUGGGCGAAAGCCUGAUGGAGCAACGCCGCGUGUGUGAUGAAGGCUUUAGGGUCGUAAAGCACUGUUGUAUGGGAAGAAAUGCUAGAAUAGGGAAUGAUUCUAGUUCGACGGUACCAUACCAGAAAGGGACGGCUAAAUACGUGCCAGCAGCCGCGGUAAUACGUAUGUCCCGAGCGUUAUCCGGAUUUAUUGGGCGUAAAGCGAGCGCAGACGGUUGAUUAAGUCUGAUGUGAAAGCCCGGAGCUCAACUCCGGAAUGGCAUUGGAAACUGGUUAACUUGAGUGUUGUAGAGGUAAGUGGAACUCCUGGGGACACGG